Molecule: ribosomal RNA, 116 nt
Filed under: Bacillus cereus
Lineage: Bacteria; Bacillati; Bacillota; Bacilli; Caryophanales; Bacillaceae
Also listed under: 30 other names
Source: RNAcentral
UCUGGUAAUGAUGGCAGAGAGGUCACACCCGUUCCCAUACCGAACACGGAAGUUAAGCUCUCUAGCGCCAAUGGUAGUUGGGACCUUGUCCCUGCGAGAGUAGGACGUUGCCAGGC